AGAUUGAACGCUGGCGGCAGGCCUAACACAUGCAAGUCGAGCGGCAGCACGGGUACUUGUACCUGGUGGCGAGCGGCGGACGGGUGAGUAAUGCCUAGGAAUCUGCCUGGUAGUGGGGGAUAACGCUCGGAAACGGACGCUAAUACCGCAUACGUCCUACGGGAGAAAGCAGGGGACCUUCGGGCCUUGCGCUAUCAGAUGAGCCUAGGUCGGAUUAGCUAGUUGGUGAGGUAAUGGCUCACCAAGGCGACGAUCCGUAACUGGUCUGAGAGGAUGAUCAGUCACACUGGAACUGAGACACGGUCCAGACUCCGUACGGGAGCAGCGAGGUAGGGGAAUAGUUAGGACAAGUGGGACGAAAGCCU
RNAcentral lists this ribosomal RNA (365 nucleotides) under uncultured soil bacterium. Its description in RNAcentral is "bacterial SSU rRNA". It matches the Rfam family "Bacterial small subunit ribosomal RNA", at positions 26 to 384 of the family's 1533-position model. The record is from RNAcentral.